RNAcentral lists this ribosomal RNA (434 nucleotides) under uncultured bacterium. Its description in RNAcentral is "partial 16S ribosomal RNA". It matches the Rfam family "Bacterial small subunit ribosomal RNA", at positions 29 to 507 of the family's 1533-position model. The record is from RNAcentral.
AGCGAACGCUGGCGGCAGGCCUAACACAUGCAAGUCGAACGAACCUUUCGGGGUUAGUGGCGGACGGGUGAGUAACACGUGGGAACGUGCCUUUAGGUUCGGAAUAACUCAGGGAAACUUGUGCUAAUACCGCAUGUGCCCUUCGGGGGAAAGAUUAAUCGCCUUUAGAGCGGCCCGCGUCUGAUUAGCUAGUUGGUUGAGGUAAUGGCUCACCAAGGCGACGAUCAGUAGCUGGUCUGAGAGGAGGAUCAGCCACAUUGGGACUGAGACACGGCCCAAACUCCUACGGGAGGCAGCAGUGGGGAAUCUUGCGCAAUGGGCGAAAGCCUGACGCAGCCAUGCCGCGUGAAUGAUGAAGGUCUUAGGAUUGUAAAAUUCUUUCACCGGAGACGAUAAUGACGGUACCCGGAGAAGAAGCCCCGGCUAACUUCGUG